This 207-nucleotide ribosomal RNA is filed under the name uncultured bacterium. RNAcentral describes it as "partial 16S ribosomal RNA". It matches the Rfam family "Bacterial small subunit ribosomal RNA", at positions 568 to 774 of the family's 1533-position model. The record is from RNAcentral.
UGUGUAGGCGGACAGGUAAGUCAGAGGUGAAAUCUCCGAGCUCAACUCGGAAACUGCCUUUGAUACUAUUUGUCUUGAAUUUCGUUGAGGUUGGCGGAAUAUAUCAUGUAGCGGUGAAAUGCAUAGAUAUGAUAUAGAACACCGAUUGCGUAGGCAGCUGACUGGACGAACAUUGACGCUGAGGCACGAAAGCGUGGGUAGCGAACA